UCGCCUCAACCAUGCUGCUCGGUCAUACAAGGUUUGGUUGAUCUUGAGGCUGCGGUUUGUCUGUGCACUGCUCUUAGGGCUAACGUUCUCGGCAUCAACCUUAAUGUUCCUAUAUCUCUCAGUGUUCUUCUCAACGUUUGUGACAAGAACCUUCCAUCUGGUUUCGAGUGCGCUUGAACGAUAUCUGCUAUGUAUAAAAUGCGCACGCAAAAUUUCCUUUCCAAAAUCUUAUACUUUGAAUAAAUGCAUGUAUGCAUGCAACGUUAAAUGGUUGUUGUUUAAAUUUAUUGUUUAAGUAAGAGUUAUUUACACUUCUUCGUAAACGCUUUUCCAAGCAUGUAUGUUUUUGUUGUAACGUUUGCUUGUAGAAAGUUGGGUGAAAGAAUUUCCAGUCAUUUCAAAGAGUAUUCAUUUCUAUUAGUGGAUUGGAAUAUUUCAGGUGCUUUUAGGCCAAGUUCUCGGCAUCAACCUUAACGUUCCUAUAUUGUGUUGUUUCAUGGGAUUGUGCUCUGACCACUGCGUUUUUUCGAGCGUCCUCUUGGCAGAUGCAGUUUUUCAUAUAUAUUCAAACUAUUUCAAUAAUUCAAAUCCAUAACCUCGUUAUUAGUAUUUCCUACUUCUCAAUCGAUUUAGCCAAACUCAAAGAGUCAGUAUAGAUUUAAACUUUCCGAAACAUACCAAGGUUUUGAUCAUCAGAAUUAAAACUUGAUGGGAAAUAUUUUUUUUUGAAUAACUAAGAGAUUUUGGGUCUAGGCCCAUGCAUCUCCUCACACCCGAUACCAAAUCAUAUAUGGUUCCAUCCCAAAAGCCAUUUGAAUUAGGAUCUCUAAGUUUUGCCUGAAAUUUUUAUAGGAAAUAUUAACAGAGUUUGGAGAAGUUACUUUCAUAAACCUGGUUACCAACAAGAGAACAAUAUUUCAAUUUCAAGAAGUUUAUAUUUAGAUAUUCAAAUUGUUGGAUUUCAAAUAAUUUGAUUUCAAUAUUUUAGUUAAUGGUUUAAAAUUGAAUAAAAAAUUAUAUAUGUUGUAUUUCCAUAAUUACGUAUUAUUUGAGGUUAAAUUUAGAAAUUAUUUAUAUAACAAAUUUACAAAUUGUAUUGUUAAUACAAAAAAAUAUGGAAGAUAAAAAAAUAUUUUUUAUUAAUUACAAAAAAAUAUCCACAUAAAAUUUUAAACACCAAUUUUACUGGUCCAUAUUAGCGUUUAAAUUAAGAAAUUUUACAAAUUUAUAACUUGUAUUGUUAAAAGUGUAAAAUAACUGCUUAGCAUUAGUAGAUUUUUUUUUUUUUUUGGGUAUGAAAGCUUUAAACUUUAGUAGAUUUACAAGCGUAUUGGGAAAUGAUUCAUACGGGAUGUACUCCUAGUUUCUACUGCAAUAGAACAGUGAUAUAGUUGUAAUAUAAAGGAUUCGGAAUCCAGAGGACCAGUGUUACUCUAUGACUUUGCGAGGAUUGAAUUAAAGCUAAGACGAAUGAUGGUUUGUUGCGAAAACUAAAAAGUAAACAGAAUGGCAAGCAACGAUUUAAAUUCAAAUUAAAAGAAGCACUAGACCAAAGCAAUUCGCAGGAACUUCAGAGAUAAGAACCAGAUGACUAUUCAGGGCACAAGUGUAACGCAAGUCUCGAACUCAAACAGAGAAGCUUAUCGAUCCACUGUCGUGAUCUCGAUAACUUUGUCUAACAACCUAAAUCCUAAACUGUCGUUUGAACCUAGAAAAUUGCAGACAAGCAUUAGCUAGCAGGUUUGAUCUGUUCACGAUUUGCCUUAACUUCAACUGUCGUUGGCUAAGGACAAAUCGCUCACCAAUGUUUAUUCUAGCAACCUAUUACACUUUUGAUGAAUAUAUUAACCUAAAAUCGUAGAUUGAGUGAUCAGUUCAACCUAAGCAUUAAGUCUAACAAUGGUGAAGACAAUAGAUAUCAAGCCCUAUUUGCAUCUAAUUUUUUAACUCAUGAAAUCUUUUGAACGCUUUAAUCUAGCUAAGAGAUCUACUCAGACAUGGAGAAAAGAAACACAGAAACAGAUGGAAAGGAAUUCAUGAAUUAAAAUCGCAGAAGAGAUAAUAGGGUUCAGAAUUCUUCUCAAAGUGUAGCAGAUUUCUUCUCCCAAAAGCUUACAAGUAAAAAAACUCUAUGGUUCAGGAAAUUGUAAAAAGAAAGCAUAGAAAGUCUGUAGAAAAACGUCCUAAUAAAACACAGACGGCUGUGGACUUUUUAUUCUCUUUCUCCUCCUAAAAUUAGGUAAAAGUCGAUUCCUUAUUUUUCUCCCAUCUGGNNNNNNNNNNNNNNNNNNNNNNNNNNNNNNNNNNNNNNNNNNNNNNNNNNNNNNNNNNNNNNNNNNNNNNNNNNNNNNNNNNNNNNNNNNNNNNNNNNNNNNNNNNNNNNNNNNNNNNNNNNNNACCGUGAGCAUGUGCUCCGCGGAUGAUUUCUCCAAAAGCGAAUGAAUAGCUCCUUAUUGUUCAAAUUCAUCUCUUUUUGCUCCAAUGCCUCCUAAACACUCCAAUCCUCUGAUAAGGCCUCUAAGUCACCUGAAACUUCCUGAAAAAAACUCCAAAAACUCCUAAAAAAAUUAGUAAACACAGGUUAGAAUGAGUCAAAGUCUCCACUCAUCAACUCCCCCGAACUUGGAUCCUUGUUUGUCCUCAAACAAACUCAAAUUCAACUCCAAAAGAAUGACUGGAUAGAGCUGGGAACUCGCAAAACUCAAACGACCGUAAACCUGACCAAGGCAUGUGUCAAUCUGCUGCAAAAUCAAUCAAAAAUCUAACCUCCAUGUACUUCUCCGUAGACGCUGCAGCUUUCCAGAUUAGUCCCUCAAUUUCAUAACAUCAUCCAUGUCCCAUCAUUGCUGAGUCUCAUCGAUAAAACCAGUGCUAAGGACCUUCUAGACUCGUUCCCAUACUUAUACCUUAACAAAUUGACCAUACUACACAAAAGUACCUUUCCUCUCCCCCGAACUUAUUCACUUUUCAAGCUGUUUCGUUUUUUUUUUUCCGGCACAUAUAAAAAGGUUCAAAGACGCGAGUAUUGAUGGUGAUUGCCACCGAAUCCCCGGUUUGUCCCCUCAUUAUAUAUCAAAAGUGUAGGCGAAUAAUGGGGUCACAGGAAAUUUUCCUACCCCUCGCUUCCAUCCCUUGUGUGAUCAUUCCACUUUAGAAGUAAAAUAAUGGGAUCAUUGGAAAUUUUCCUAGCCCUUUACUUCUAAAAGAAAAUCAUUUCAAUCUUUUCUGCCUUUUUUUUUUUUUUGAAACAGUCUGAAACAAUGCUUAGAACAUGAGAGAGGAAUACCAAAUCUAUCACACAGGUCUUUAUUUGUCAGGUAAGAAUGAGGAGUCAAGUCCUAUGAGCACUAACCUGAUCGAUGAGGAAAAUGAAGAGCUGAGAAUUAGCUCAGGUUCAAUGGAUUAGUCAAGAAUUUUGGGCUCCUCUAGUCUACUGCUUGUCUUUGGAUUUUCCAUUAGUCGAUCUAGAUGAUUCUGCAGCAAUAAUCACUAGAAGAAGAUGGUCAAGAUUCACAAAUGGUCUGAAAUCAUCAUAGAAUUGGUCCUAAAUUCCACAAGCUUUGACUUUGACUCAUAUAACCAACUGACUCAAAGAAACUAAAUGACUCAAACAAACAAACUAAAAACUGACUCAAAGAAAGUACUAAAAGGAAGAAAGCAAAAGAAAUAAGUACAAGGGACACGACCCUCCCCCGGACUUACUUCACACCGUCCCCGGUGUAAAAAUAAGCUAGAGAAGUGUCCAAAAAACUUACCUGGUUCGCACAUGUAGAGCACCCUGGCGGAGCAGGUGCUCCGGAACAGAGCUGGGUGCUCCCUCGUCUUUUGUUCGUCUGGAGCAGGUGCCGGAGCAGGUGCUCCGGUUUCCCUUGGGUUGCUCCUUCGUCACUUUUUACGUGGUGAGCACCCUGUGGAGCAGGUGCUCCGACUGGGGAAGGGGUGCUCUUUCGUCAGUUUUUACGCUUUGAGCAACCAACCCAGCAGAUGGAGCAGGUGCUCCGGUUGGGUGCUCUUCCUUCAUCUUCCUCACAUCUUCUCUUCCACGUUGAACAACUUCUUACCUGUUUUUUUUUUUUUUGAAAACAAAGAACCUAAAAACAAAGUUAGUAGCUAAGAAUUGAAAGACACAAAGUUAGAGACUCUUACCGGUGGGUUGCCUCCCACCAAGCGCUUGUUUUAAGUCAUUAGCUUGACUUGGAAAGCCAUUUAGGCUUGAGGAGGAUCGCUUAAAGUGACUGAUUCACCCUCUGCGAUAUUUGGACCAGCAAGAUAUGGUUUCUACCUCUGUCCAUUGACAACAAACUCGCCUCCUUUAGUGUCCAGCAACACUACAGCUCCAUAUGGUCGAACCUCCUUGAUGGUGAAUGGUCCAGACCAUCUCGAUCUCAGCUUCCCUGGAAACAAUUUCAAUCUAGAGUUAAAGAGCAAUACCUGAUCGUUUGGUGCAAAGCUUCUGUUGAGGAUCCUCUUGUCAUGAAAAGCUUUUGUCCUCUCUUUGUAAAUCUUCGAGUUUUCAUAGGCCAGAUGCCUAAUUUCCUCCAGCUCAUGUAACUGCAUUACUCUCCUCUCCUGAACACUCUUUGCAUCGAAAUUCAGCAGCUUCACUGCCCAAGCAGCUUUGUACUCAAGUUCCACUGGAAGAUGACAUGCUUUUCCAUACACCAAGUGGAAUGGUGUAGUCCCCAAAGGUGUUUUGUAAGCUGUUUUGCGCAAAGAGCAUCAUCAAGCUUCACUGCCCAAUCCUUCCUUGUGGUGCUCACAGUCUUCUGCAGAAUGUUCUUGAUUUCCCUGUUGGAAACCUCAACUUGCACACUCGUCUGAGGAUGGUAUGGGGUCGCCACCUUAUGCCUUACACCAUUCUUCUUCAACAAGUUUUCAAAGACUUUGUUGAUGAAGUGAGAGCCUCCAUCGCUAAUCACCACUCGCGGCACACCAAACCUGGGAAAAAUGACAGAUUUGAACAUCUUUAAAACCACCUUUGCGUCAUUUGUGGGACUAGCCAGAGCUUCCACCCACUUUGACACAUAGUCAACUGCCACCAGAAUAUACUCAUUCCCAUAAGAUGAUGGAAAAGGUCCCAUGAAGUCUAUACCCCACACAUCGAAAAUCUCCACUUCCAAGAUGAAAUUCUGAGGCAUCUCAUUCCUCCUGCUAAUGUUUCCUUGUCUCUGACAUGUGUCACAUCUGGAGAUAAAACUCGCUGCAUCUCGGAACAUCGUUGGCCACCAAUACCCAGCUUGGAGAAUUUUCGACACAGUCUUGAAAGUGGCGAGGUGGCCUGCAUAAGAGGAUCCAUGGCAAUGAAACAACACUCCUGGUAUCUCCUCAUCAGCUACACAUCUUCUGAAGAUUCCAUCAGAGCAAUGCCUGUAUAAAUAAGGCUCAUCCCAAAAGUAGUGCCUCACAUCCUUCAGAAACUUCUUCUUUUUGUUUCCCACAAAACCUGCAGGUUUCUGCUCUGCAGCAAGGUAAUUUGCAAUCUCUCCAAACCAUGGGAAACCAAAAUGCCGAUCUAUGUCAACUUGGUUGCAAAAACUCGUCAGAGCAGGUGCUCUGGUGGGGAUCAGGUGCUCGUCGAACCCAGAACAUCUAUGGCGUAAACUUGUUCAUCAGGAAGGCUGUUUAGUGGAAUGUCAUCAUCUAUCUUCAGCCUCGACAAGUGGUCUGCAACACCAUUAUCAAUCCCUUUUUUGUCUUUAAUCUCCAAAUCAAACUCCUGCAGCAAAAGGAUCCAUCGAAGGAGCCUUGGCUUGGCAUCCUUCUUCGUCAACAGGUAUUUCAGAGCUGCAUGGUCUGUGUGAACAACAACUUUCGGCCCAACAAGGUAGGACCUGAACUUCUCAAAAGCAUAAACCACUGCAAGAAGCUCCUUUUCGGUUGCGGCAUAUCUGCACUGAGCUUCGUCGAGUGUUCGGCUGGCAUAAUAGAUGACAUGGAGCCUCUUUUCUUUCCUCUGUCUCAGCACUGCGCCCACUGCAUAAUCACUAGCAUCAGUCAUCACCUCAAAAGGAAGUUCCCAAUCUGGUGGCUGGACAAUAGGAGCGCUGACUAGAGCUCCUUUGAUAGCAUGAAAUGCCUCCAAACAUGCAUCAUCAAACUCGAAUUUCACAUCCUUGCACAGCAGCUGCGUCAGGGGUCUGGCAAUCUUCGAGAAAUCUUUGAUGAAGCGUCUGUAAAAACCUGCAUGGCCCAGAAAACUGUGAACCCCCUUGACUGAUGUUGGUGGCUGCAGACUCAUCAUCACCUCGAUCUUUGCCUUGUCCACCUCGAUCCCUUUCUCUGAGAUUUUGUGUCCCAGCACGAUCCCAUCUCUCACCAUGAAAUGGCAUUUCUCUAGUUAAGCACCAGAUGCUUCUCCUCACACCGCUGCAAGACCAUGCACAGAUUAGACAAACAGACAGAAAAGGAGCUUCCAUAGACAGAAAAAUCGUCCAUGAAAACUUCCAUUAUGUCUUCAAUCAGGUCAGUGAAAAUCGACAUCAUGCAGCGUUGGAAUGUUGCUGGAGCAUUACACAAGCCAAAUGGCAUUCUGCGAUAUGCAAAGGUGCCAUAAGGACAUGUGAAUGUCGUCUUCUCCUGGUCGUCCGGGUGGAUUGGGAUCUGAAAGAAACCUGAAUAACCAUCUAAGAAACAGUAGUAAGGAUGGUUAGCCAAGCGUUCAAGCAUCUGAUCGAUAAAUGGUAAAGGAAAAUGAUCUUUGCGAGUUGCAGCAUUCAAUUUCCUGUAAUCUAUGCACAUUCGAUGCCCAGUAACAGUUCUAGUUGGUAUCAAUUCAUUCCUAUCAUUUUUUAUCACAGUGAUGCCACCUUUCUUAGGAACUACAUGAACCGAACUAACCCAAUUACUAUCUGAAAUCGCAUAGAUCACACCAGCUUCUAGAAGUUUCAUUAUCUCUUUCUUUACAACAUCUUGUAGAUUCGGGUUUAACCUCCUCUGAUGUUCUACAGAAGUCAUUGAUUCAUCUUCUAGAUGUAUUCUAUGCAUGCAAAGAUCAGGAAAAAUCCCUGGAAUGUCAUCUAGUGAAUAUCAUAGAGCUUUCCUAUACUUUCUAAGUUCACAAAGAAGCAAGGCAAUCUCUACAUUGUUCAAUUCAGAGUUCACUAUCACAGGGUAUGUCGAAUUGGGUCCUAGAAACGCGUACCUGAGCCCCACAGGAAGGGGUUUGAGCUCAAGCUUCGGAGCUCUCAAUUCGCUCCAAGGCCCAUCAAUCAAGCCGUCGGGAGCAGGUGCUCCAGGAUUCGGAGCAGGUGCUCCGUCGGCUUUUUCUGCAGAUGAGCUCUCCUUGCUUUCUAAGCUCAUGUACGCCACCAGCCUUUGCAUCCUCGUGCUUGCAUUCAGCAUCUUUGCAAACCCAUCAGCUUCUUCACUCAAAUACCCAUGUUCUCCUUCGGCUUUGGUGAGUGCAACUUCCAGAGAAUCGAUGGCCAAAACCUCUUCAGCAACCUCUUCAGCAAUGCUUGAACCAUCAUCUAUGAUAAAUGUCUGUCCGUCCAGCAUUGGUUUCUUGAGGAGUUUAUUCAUCUCAAAUCGCACCACCAUAUCUCCCAGCUGGAGAUCUAUCACUCCUCCUUUCACAUCUAUGAUUGCACCAGCUGUGCAUAAGAAGGAUCGACCCAAUAUCAAAGGAUCCUUGGGUUCUUCAUCAACCUCCAGAACCACAAAAUCUGCUGGAAUAAGUGUAUCACCUAUCUGAACAUGCAGAUCCUCAAGUAUACCAACAGGGAAUUUGGUUGAUCUAUCAGCGAAUACCAGCGAGAUUUUCGUCGGUUUGAAUCUGGUGUAACCCAAUCGCUUGGCUAUAGAGUAAGGCAUCAGAUUCACACUUGAACCCAGAUCGCAGAGAGACCUUGCAAACAGCACAUUCCCAAUCCUGACUUAGAGAACAAACCUUCCUGAAUCACUUCUCUUCUUCAGCACUUUGUUCUGAAGCACAGCACUGCACUCCUUCGAAACCAUCAUGACACUCUCUUCCUCAACAGCUUUCCCAGACACUAACCCCUUCAUGUAUCUUUUUAGGGCUGGUAUCAUCUGAACAGCAUCAACUAGAGGGAGUUUUACAGUCAAAUCCUUCAGCAUCUCCCUGCACUUUGCCUCCUCUAAGUCCUUGCGAGACUUCUUUGGUGGAACUGGGUAAGGUACCUUAGGCGUGUAAACUCUUGCAGGAAUGUUUGCUGGAGCAGGUGGCUGGAGCAGGUGCUCCCUCGUUGGCUCAGGGUGCUCCAUCGUCACAUCUACGUCUGGAGCAGGUGCUCUCGAUUUUGGAGCAGGUGCUCUGAUGGGGAAAGAGUGUUCCUUCGUCUUUUUUACGUCAUGAGCUGGUUCCUCUUCUUGGAGCACGUGCUCCACGUCCUUUUCCUUCCUCACAGAGCUUGUUGGUGCAGCAUGUAGAGUCUUCCCACUUCUCAGCUCAAUAGCAUUCACAAACUCAUUCCUGGGGUUUUCAGGUGGCUGGAGCAGGUGCUCCCUCGUUGGCUCAGGGUGCUCCAUCGUCACAUCUACGUCUGGAGCAGGUGCUCUCGAUUUUGGAGCAGGUGCUCUGAUGGGGAAAGAGUGUUCCUUCGUCUUUUUUACGUCAUGAGCUGGUUCCUCUUCUUGGAGCACGUGCUCCACGUCCUUUUCCUUCCUCACAGAGCUUGUUGGUGCAGCAUGUAGAGUCUUCCCACUUCUCAGCUCAAUAGCAUUCACAAACUCAUUCCUGGGGUUUUCACCUUUUCCAGGGAGAGUUCCAGGUGAUCUCUUCACAGCUUCUGCAGUCUGAGCUACCUGAACAUCCAGCUUCUUCACAUGAGUCCACACUGCUUCAUACUUGCCAUUCAAAUCAUUGUACAUGGUGUCCACUUUGGCAUUAAUCUCCAUGGAAGACUUUUGCUGAUUAACCAGCAGCUGUUGCAUCAAGUUUUUCAGCUCAUCUUGCGAGUUAUUUGAGGAACUCGAAGAAGGCUGCAGACUUGUGAAAGGCAACUUCUGCUGAUUUCCACCUUGAAACCGAUUCUGAUUGGUGAUGAACUGCUUUCCUUGGAAGUUGCUGGAGAAGUUCUUCUGAAAUCCUGACUGAUUCUGCACUCCUUGCUGCAGAUAGACCUGAUCCUGAGGGUUCUCAACAUUGUUGCUUCUGUAGGAUAAAUUCGGGUGGCUUCUGAAGUUGUUGAAGCUGCGAUUCUGCACAUACCCUUGUCCAUUCACGAAAUUUACCUCCAUCUGAUCAUUAUUCUCUGCAUCUACAAACUCUUGAGAAAGAAGUGCAUCACCAACCUCAUCAGCAAAAUGCACAGAUCUCUGGUUCUCUCUCAACAGCAGAUUCACCUUUGCUGUAAGCUCAUCGAUCUUGCUCAACUCCACACUAUGAACUGCUUUGCUAGACCUGUCAUACUCUUGGGAUUUGUUGCUGGAGCUUGCAGCUAAGUUCUCAAUCAACUCAUAAGCAGCUUCUUUGGACUUAGUCAUGAAAUCGCCAUUGCUAGCUGCAUUCAAAGCAUUCCUGUAAUCCCAGUUGACACCAUCAUAAAAGGUUGACAGAAUCUGCUCAUCAGAGAACUGAUGGUGAGGGCACUCUCUUCGGUACUCCUUGUACCUCUCCCAAGCUUCGCAGAAGGCUUCACCAGGUUGCUGUUUAAACGAUGAGAUCUUGUUCUUCAGAGCUGCAGUUUUGGCCUUAGUGUAUAAAUGGUCCAAAAAUGCUGAUCUGCACUCUUCCCAUGUAGUCAAUGACCCAGGUGGUAAUGACUUCAGCCAGCGCAAAGCUUUGUCCGCAAGUGAGAAUGGAAAAAGCUUGCACUUCAAGAAAUCGGCUGGUAUCCCAUUUGAUCCAGUCGCGCUGCAAAUCUCCUCAAAAUUCUCGAUGUGGUCCAUCGGAAUCUCAGCAGGAAGCCCAUGAAAGAGAUGCUGCUUCACCAAUGAGAUCAGCUGAGGUUUGAUCUCAAAGUCUUGCCUCUGAAUGGUUGGAGGAGCAAUCGCAGCCCUGUUGUGAUAGUAAGCAUGCAGACUGUCCUUGUCUCCAAUAGCAGGUUGUGGCUGCUCCCUGUCUUGCUGCGCCUUUUGCAGCUGCUCCAAUUGCUGUCGAAGCUGUUUUAGCUCGACAGCCAUGUUUUCAUUGUUGCCUUGAUCGCCCAUGUUGGCUUGAAUAGGCCUUUGACGUCUGUUUUCUCGCUCGACUCUUGCUAGCUCGGUGUUCGACAAAGAAACAAGAUCGGUGCAGUUGCUCCUUGUGGAUAUGUUUGACAUACACCUGAAACACACGCAAACAAGAGAACAAGAGAGAAAAAUUAGUAAAGCCUUAGUCUGAAUUUCAAACCAAAAAUCAAAGGUAACGAAUUGGUCUCCGUCGCAACGGCGCCAAAAUUUGAUUCACACUGGAUGUACUCCUAGUUUCUACUGCAAUAGAACAGUGAUGUAGUUGUAAUAUAAAGGAUUCGGAAUCCAGAGGACCAGUGUUACUCUAUGACUUUGCGAGGAUUGAAUUAAAGCUAAGACGAAAGAUGGUUUGUUGCGAAAACUAAAAAGUAAACAGAAUGGCAAGCAACGAUUUAAAUUCAAAUUAAAACAAGCACUAGACCAAAGCAAUUCGCAGGAAUUUCAGAGAUAAGAACCAGAUGACUAUUCAGGACACAAGUGUAAUGCAAGUCUCGAACUCAAACAGAAAAGCUUAUCGAUCCACUGUCGUGAUCUCGAUAACUUUGUCUAACAACCUAAAUCCUAAACUGUCGUUUGAACCUAGAAAAUUGCAGACAAGCAUUAGCUAGCAGGUUUGAUCUGUUCACGAUUUGCCUUAACUUCAACUGUCGUUGGCUAAGGACAAAUCGCUCACCAAUGUUUAUUCUAGCAACCUAUUACACUUUUGAUGAAUAUAUUAACCUAAAAUCGUAGAUUGAGUGAUCAGUUCAACCUAAGCAUUAAGUCUAACAAUGGUGAAGACAAUAGAUAUCAAGCCUUAUUUGCAUCUAAUUUUUUAACUCAUGAAAUCUUUUGAACGCUUUAAUCUAGCUAAGAGAUCUACUCAGACAUGGAGAAAAGAAACACAGAAACAGAUGGAAAGGAAUUCAUGAAUUAAAAUCGCAGAAGAGAUAAUAGGGUUCAGAAUUCUUCUCAAAGUGUAGCAGAUUUCUUCUCCCAAAAGCUUACAAGUAAAAAAACUCUAUGGUUCAGGAAAUUGUAAAAAGAAAGCAUAGAAAGUCUGUAGAAAAACGUCCUAAUAAAACACAGGCGGUUGUGGACUUUUUAUUCUCUUUCUCCUCCUAAAAUUAGGUAAAAGUCGAUUUCCUUAUUUUUCUCCCAUCUGGAGCAGGUGCUCCACGAAGGGUCCAAACCGGGAGCAGGUGCUCCGCGGAUGAUUCCUCCAAAAGCGAAUGAAAUAGCUCCUUAUUGUUCAAAUUCAUCUCUUUUUGCUCCAAUGCCUCCUAAACACUCCAAUCCUUUGAUAAGGCCUCUAAGUCACCUGAAACUUCCUGAAAAAACUCCAAAAACUCCUAAAACAAUUAGUAAACACAGGUUAAAAUGAGUCAAAAUCUCCACUCAUCAAGAAACCUUUCAAACAUAUUUCAUGCUUCGAGGUGACUAUGAGCCUAAGGUUUAACAAUGGUUACCAAUGAAACUAAUUUUGUAUCAUUUAGCAUAAUUUAUAAUAUAAUUAUAUAUAUAUAUAUAUAUAACUUGUUACAUACCAAUGUGAUGAGGCUGUUAAUACUUUAAACCGCCCAUAUGUAAUCUUUAUUGUUCUUCGUUUCUCUUCAAGAAGUUACAAUGUUACCCUGUAACUGAAUUCAUAUAUAUAUAUAUAUAUAUAUAUAUAUCCUAUCAUUUCUAAAAAAUAUUAUAUAUAUUUUUUUUUAACUUGUUUAAAUUUGUUUACAAAUUGUGUUAAGUUUUUUGUUUUCAACUCAAACCAAUUAACAACGAGUAGAUUUGUUCAAGUCUUUAUAUAUUAGUGUUAGUCAUUUUAAACUUUAGGAUUCUAACACGCUUCAUCAAAAUGAUGGGUCUUAUCGACUUAUUUCGAACCAAAUUCCAUUUUAGAACCGGUAAUAAAUCUUUCUUGGAUAAAUUUUCUUGGAUCAACAAAGAAGGCUCUUACAUUUCAAUGCAAAACCAAUUGGCAUUUAAUAGAUUGGAUAAAAUCUCUUAUAUAUUAGUGUUAAUCUCUUUAAAUUUCAAAUGUGUGAUUCUAACAAGUUGUAGUUAGAUAUAAAAAUAUAAUUUGUAUUUUGGCAAUUUUCGUUUUCGGGUAAAAAGAUCUGAUGAGAUUAUUCGAUAUCAAUAGCUCAAUCGGUGUAAGUCCGACAAUGAUGAGGGACUUAUUUAACUUGCUCGACUCCUUGACCCCGUAGAGAUUAGAACUCGGUAUAAACUUCUUGGCUAGAAAGAAAAAAAAAAUCAAUGCAAAAACUAUAAUUAGAUAAAUAAGUAAUUUGUACAAUAAAUAAUAAAAGGCAGACGACUUCCAGCAAACUUUUUACUGGAUUAUAUUGUACUACUAAGGUUGACAAAAAAAGACGCAAAGCUUGUCCUAUCAAGGAUGUUAACGUUGCAUACUUGCCUAUCCAGUACGUUUCCUACUAGUGAUUUUUUUCGUUGUUAAAGGUUUCCUAAAAGUUUAACGAGAUUUUAUCUCUACAUAAAAUAAUAAGGUUCAAGUUUCUGAGGAGUACAAUGUAUAAAAGUGUCCUGCUUCCCCGAAUCGGUCAUUAUAGAUUUGAUAUGAUAAAAAUUUCAAUUAGGAACGGUGUAAGGUACGAUUAUUAUUAUUAUUUUUUUUUAUGAUGAUAACGUUGCCUAUGCUUUGAUUGUUUUGUUAUUCAACAAAUUCACCCUUUGUAAUUUCGGUUGGUUUCGGUCGAUUUCCCAACCGAGAUUUUGGACGUUUAAGUUAUUUUUUUAGUAUAUUUUGGUAUGUUUCAUAAAUUUUAAGUUGUAGUCGGUUUAAAACAAACGGUAAAUUGUUAUAUACUGGAAUCAAUAGGAAGAAAAAAAAUUGAAUGAGACAAGUUAACGUCCAAAGAUAUUGUUUUGAGAUAUUUCUACACAGCUUGUAGUUUUUUUUUUUUUUUUUAUGUUGGUCUAUGAUAUCAUUUCCAUUAGGAAAUAUAAGUUUGUACCCAAAAAUGAUUUAUCCGGAUGUAACAUAUACAAUACUCCGCAACGUAUAUUUCCUAAAACGCUUUUAAUGUCCCUUUUAAUCUAUUUGAUAAUAAGGGUAUAUUAUUUGAAACUUUUCACAUAGAACAUUUUUAGUGGCUGGGAUUUUAUCUAAACUUCAAAAGGUUCCGAAAUCUGAAGUAAAAUGACUACGAGCCAAAUACUCAUAAUAAAUGUGCAAUAAUACCGACAACUUGACAGUAAUACUAUCUAAUACUCCAAAUAAUUUAAGGGACCGAUGAAUGAAGAAAUCCAGCAUUUUUUAGUUAUAUAAAAAUUUUAAAAAUCGACUUUCCAAAUGAUUUCAGUUUUCGGUUCUAAAUAUCUACACAAAGGGAAAAAAUAAACGAGAUUGUAUAUGUGGAAUCGUAGAUAAACGCAGAUAAAAGGUCAGAUAUUUUUGUAGAAUGACAGAACUAUAUAUAUAUAUAUAUAGUUAAUUAUACUUAAACAAGGUUUUUCACAUCCUUAUUAAACCCUAUAAAUACUCACACCUUCCCUUCAUUUCUAUUCAUCUCUCUCUCUCAAACACAGUCAAUACUCGUUAUAAACCUGAAUCUGUCCUUUGAAAAAAGAAUGUCUUCAAAGAACUCAGCCUCCCUUGCUCUUUUCUUUGCACUGAACAUCCUAUUUUUCACCUUAACCACUGCAACUGAUUGUGGCUGCAACCCAAGUCCUAAGCCGAAGCCGAGCCCAAGUCCUAUGCCUAAGCCCCCUAAGCAUGUCCCAAGUCCGAACCCUAUGCCUGUCCCACCUCCUAGCACCCCUGGCUCAUCUGAAAACUGUCCUAUAGAUGUCCUCAAGCUCGGUGUAUGUGCAAAUGUCCUAAGCGGCUUACUAAACAUACAGUUGGGUCAGCCAUCAACUCAAGAAUGCUGCUCGCUUGUCCAAGGUUUGGUUGACCUCGAGGCCGCAGUUUGUCUCUGCACUGCUCUUAGGGCUAACGUUCUUGGAAUCAACCUUAACGUUCCUAUAUCUCUCAGCGUUCUUCUCAACAAGUGUAACAAGAAGGUUCCAUCUGGUUUCGAAUGCACUUGAUUCAGUUUCCUCUUCAAAAUAUUUACUGUUUGAAUAAAUGCAUGCAAGCUAGAGAGUUUAAUGUUUAAAUGUUAUUUGUUUGUGAUAUAAUAAAUGUGUGAGAGUUUUGUAGUUUUUUUUUUUUUUUGCUGGUAAACGUUCCCCGUGGUGGUUGUAUGUUUUUGUAGCUAUCUAUUUCUAUUUUCACUCUGUAUAAUGCAUAUAUUAUUUAAUCAAUGUCUUAUUUUCAAGUACUCAUUUGGAUGGCUAUUACACAAUAUUGACAAAAUUCAUAUCAUAGAAUGCUUUUACUCUUUGGAGAGUUGAUUUCUACUGGAAAAAUUUUGAUCACUAUGAUAUUCGGCAACACAAUAUAAAUCUCGUUUAUAAAAACAAUCCUUAUUAGAUUGUGAUUAGUACUCAUCCUAAAAUCGUAUUGAAAAAUUAAACAAAGAUUAGUCCUUUCUCCAGAAUUGUGGUGUAGUUGAACAUUAUAGUUAUAUAUUGAUGUAGCGCCUCUGAUACCAAAUGUUGGAGUGAGAACUUUAAAAAGAUAGAAUAGUAAUCCGUUAAUUCUGAAAAUAUCCAAAAAAUAUGAUAAUUGCAAAAUUAUUUGUUUAGUCUAAGAAUCUCCGAAUAAAUCAAAUCUUUUAAGAUUCGUUGAAAUAUUUUUAGAUCUACCAAAAACAAGGAACAAAAAGACGAAAACUCAAUUCUAUUAAUUAAUCAAAAACUGAAUACAAGGUCUAAACGACUUAUUUAUACUAAAUUCAAAACACUAGAAAACUCUAAAACAAUAAAAGAAAAUUAUCUAAAUAAUUAAAGAUAUAAUUAAGAUAUUUGAGAUAUUUUCAAAUAUCUUUCUGCAACAUAUAUUCAGCUGAGAAUGAACAGUUCGGUAAUCACUUAUCAAUAAAGUCCGAUAAUUAGUUAAGACAUGUACAUUUUAAUCUUGUUUGUCCAAAGAAUUGCGGUUAAGGUUCAAUGAUGUAUAUGUGCUUUCAUUAUCUAUGACCGAGAGAUCUCGGCCGAGAAUAUAUGUGGUCAACUGGUCAUGAGUCUUUGAGGCCUUAACCGAAUUUUUUUUGUAGUUUGUACCAGAGUCAAUUAAGGUUAUGACUGAGAAGCAUUAUUUCUUGGCCGAAUGAAUGAUAACUUGUUUUUAAUUUUUUAUUGUUAAUUAUACGUAUAUAUCUCAUGAUUAGAAUUUUUAAGAAAACGUUAUUGUGUGUUUUUUUUUCAACAAUAUGCAUUAUAAUGAAUUUGAAUUAAUGGGAUGACGCAGUGAUAAAACGAACAGAAACCACUACAUUAUAUGUAAUGGCCAAUGCUUUAUUUUUAUAUUCAUAAAAAUGAAAAGUUCAUGUUCGGGUAGUAUGCCUCGUGUUGAUGUGAUUGAUUGUAAGUUUCAUUAAGCUCAAUGCCAGAAGUAAGUUGACGUAUGUGGGGAAACUAGAAAUUUGGAGCCAGUUUCGCUAAGAUAUUUACGAAUAUAGUCGCGAUUUGAAAAUAAUGAGUCAAAGAGAUCAAAGAUGGUUAACACUUCGUAUGUACUAAUAUAAUCUUGGGGUUUCAAUAGUUGAAUAUGUAAAUCGAAUAACAUAUACAGUAUAUAUAAUGCUUAGAAAGAUUAUGAUAAACAUGUCAAAAAUAGGACCUAAGAAUUUUGUGUUUUAUCUCAAUUUUUCUUAAUUAUUUAGUACUAUCUGCAAUAAACAAAAUAUAAUCAAAUUAAUAAAUAAUUUUAAAAUAUGAGUUCUCUAAUAGCUAAGUUUUAAAUAAAUGAAAACUACAAAACUGUUGACAGAAAAACAAUACAAAGCAACAUUAGUAACAUAGCUAUUAUGUAGGAAGGCCAUAUAUAACUAUAUACACAUUAAACAUAAAAGAACAUGCUAUUUAAAACUAUUUCGAAGACCAUACUUACCACCUUGGUGGAAAGAUAACUAUCUGAUAUAUCUGGAAUGAAAAUGAAAAUGAAGUUUACCCAUACGUGUGAGAUAAUUAAGGUAAAAAACUGGGAAAAAGAAGUAUCAAAUAGCUGCCCAAAAAGAAAAAAAUUAAAAUCUUUCAUACCCACUUGCUAAUUUUUCUUGAUCUUAGUUUCUCGUGACGAAAGUUCAAAAUAACAUUUCUUUUUUUUUUAACGUUUUUAACUAUCUUGUGGUCCUAGUUUCUUUGUAAAACAUAUUUCUUUGAGGGAAAAUAGUUUUAUUGACUUUAUGAAAGAGUAAACCAUUUGGACCCCAGAGCUUAAUUCAUACGAUAUGUCCAAAUAUUUAAACCUAUUGAGAUAUUUACGUAAAGCAUUGUAGAAGAAAACAAAAUUAUGGUCGACAAUGUCUACAUAGAAUGACGAAUUAACAGAAGACGAUCAUUAACCAUCAACGAGAUAUGGACUAGUAAGCUUGAGAUGUCCAAUUACUUGUUUUGGCCGAAGACAAACACGUCAUUUUGAAUUUAUUGUAAAAUAUGUAUCUAAGUUAUCUAAAUAUAUGAGUAUCAAAGAUAUGUAUCUAAAUAAGGAUUGGACUCCGAGUUCGUAAUAUUUUGACUUUAUUGUAAAAUAGAGACACAAGUUGAUAUAACCAGAAUGCGAGACACGAGAUGAUGUGUGGUUUACAAUUUUAUAAACACUUUUAAAAAAAAAUGAAUGUAACAUUAAUUCAAAUCCAAAAAAAUCGUUCUACAAAUGAAUGUGUCCUUUUGUUCGAAGAAAGAGAAAUAUUUUUACAUUAAUAUUGUCAUUAGGAUCUUAGGAUGGCCGAAAACCAAACUAUAUAACUAUUUCCUCAUCGUAUGUGGUAUUACCUGCAUUCUGAAUAGAUCAGAUAAGGUUCUCAGUUCUCACAUUCUUAUUUUUAGAAACAUCUUAUUUUUUAUAUGAAUCACUUAAUAAUUUUUUGAAUUAUAACCAGGUUUACUUUUUUUGUCAACUUUGAUAUUUAAUUUUGAAUUAAACAAAAGAUUUAGUAAACCAAACUGGAGUAGCAAAAUUUACAUAUAAAAAGUAGCAUUAUAAGUCAAACAAUAAACAUUACCAUUUAUAUUGCGUGAUAUAUAGAAGUAUAAAUGCCAAUUUAGAGAAUUACGAUUUAUUAAAUUCUAAGAUCAAUUAUCUGGUCAAUAGUGUUCGUAUGCUAGAACUCUGAAUUAUGAAUUCCGAAUAUGCUUGGCUUGGCUUGGCUUGCCAAUGCCAAUCCGAGUUAUUUAUUUUUUUAAAUUAAAGUUGACAAAAAAUUGAAAAAACGAACCUAUCCAAACCAAAUAAUUGACUUGAUGAUAGUUGGUCUAACCAGACCAGGUUGUUGUUUUUUUUAAACACGGAAAUUAUAUCCUGACCAUAAAUUGUCAUAUCCUGGAACAUUGUCCGGUCCGAUGGACUUCACCAAACAUUUCAAAGCAAAUUUUUGACCAUGUGAAUUUGUAAUGGACUAAUUACAAAAGAUCACAAAAAAUAUUUUUCCAAAUGUUGGAACUACUCUGCACGUCUCUCAGUGACAUUUAUAGUGAGUUUCAAUAAAACCUAAGGAUCCUCUUGAAAAUAUAACAAAACUCAUUACAAAAAAAAAAGAAUAUAUCAUCUUCCAUAUGCCUAUAUCUCCGAAGUGUCUGAUAAACAGAAAACUCAAAUCGAAAGAAGGCUUGUUCAUUGUCGAGAGAUGAUCUCUGGUGCAUGGGAGAAGCGCAGCCCAGGUUCUUCCAAAUGUAUCCCUAAUUUUAAGCUAAUGCACGAACCUGAUUUAAGUGAACAAAAAUCUAUCAUUUAUGUUCAGUUAUGAUUUUCGAAUUGUUCUACGUACGUUUUAGGUUUUUGACCCCAAGAAAAAAAAAGAAAAGAAUUUAUCAUAUAUAGAGGUAUCAACCAAAUUAGACACAUCUGUUUUGAGAAUUAAAAAAAAAACUAUGUAACAAUCUAGUUUGUAGUUUUAUGAAAUCUAAUUUGUAUUUUUUUGUCUUUUUUGUUUUUCAGUAAAAAUAUCUGAGGAGAUUAUUCGAUGCCAGUAACUCAACUGGUAUAACACUUGGUUACCCAAAAAAGAGUUGAGAAGAUCUCAGGUUAGAAAUGAGUGAUUAAUUUAACUUGAUCUACUCUUUCAACCCGGAGAGAUUAUAGAAGUAUAGAACUAAGGUCCAAGCUUCUUGGUUAAAAAGACAAAAAAAUUAAUCCAAAAAAUAUAAUUAGAUAAAUAAGUAAUCUGAAUAAUACAUAAUACAAGGGCAGAGGACUUCCAGCAAAUUUUGUACUAGAUUAUAUUGUCUGUCCUAUUAAGGAUGUUUACAAAAAAAAUACAAAGCGUGUCCUAUUUAGGAUGUUAACGUUGCCUAUCUAGUACGUUUCCUAAAAGUAGUACGUGGUAUCAGCUCUACUUAUGGAAAUACGGCUCAACUUUCUGCGGACGACAACGUAUAAAAGUGUCUGGCUUCUUGGAAUCGGUAGUUUUAGAUUUGAUGUGAUAAAGAUAUGUCAAUUAGGAACGGAUCCCAAUCAUGUUAAAUUUUCUGAUUUAGGGUAUGAUUGGUAACACUGCAGAAUUGCAGAAUUACAAAAAAUAAUCUUGCGGGAUAAAAUAAUCUCGUUCAAACUUGCUUUUUUGCAUAAUGAUUUUUUGUUUUUGUAUUUUUGUAAGUAAAAACACAAGAUUUUUUUUUAUUCUGCAGAUAUUUGUUGAUUGGCAAAAUAUUUGUAUAAUCAUGUUUAAGAACAUAAUUUUACUAUUUCACAGAUUACCAAUCAGAGUCUAAUGUUGAGAGAUCAACUGAUCUGUAAUGUUGGUUGGGCUCAAUCGGUCAAUUUUUAACCUAGAAUUUUGAAGUCUACGUGUUUUUUUGGUAUAUUUUUUUCUAUGUUUCAUGAAUUUUUAGUUGUACUCAGUUUAAUAACACUAAAAUGUUUUAUACAAAAAUCAAUAGGAAGAAAAGAGAAUUGCAUAUAUUUUUCACGACCUUUGUCGGUUACUUUUUGGUAAUUUUUUUUGUUUGGUUAUCUAGUGAAGGUGGUGAUAAUAACAUUAACGACAACUUGACAAUAAUACUGCAUAUAAUAUGAAUUAAGAAAUCAAACAUUCCUUUUAAUUAUAUAUAAAAAAAGACAUUCCAAAUUAUUUCGAGGUUCGGUUCUACGUAUCUACACAAAGAGAACAAAAAAAGGAUUCAGAGUUUGUAUAUGUAGAUAAACACAGAUAAAAGACCGGAUAUUUUGUUAGAAUGAAAAAAUAUAUAAUUAUUUAUACUACAACAAGUUGGUCCUCUUCACAUCCUUGUAAAACCCUAUAAAAUACCAACACCUUCCCUUCAUUUCUAUCCAUCUCUCUCUCGCUCAAACACAGUCAAUAAUCCUUACUAAACUGAAUCUAUCUUUUGAAAUAAGAUGGCUUCAAAGAACUCAGCCUCACUUGCUCUUUUCUUUGCACUCAACAUCCUCUUUUUCACCUUAACCGCUGCAACUGAUUGCUGCAGUCCUAAGCCGAAGCCCAAACCUAGUCCUAAGCCUAAGCCGGUCUCAUGUCCUCCGCCCCCCAAGCAUGUCCCAAGUCCAUCGGUCCCAAGUCCUAACCCUAGGCCUGUCCCACCUCCUAGCACCCCUGGCUCAUCCCAAAACUGUCCUAUAGAUGUCCUCAAGCUCGGUGUAUGUGCAAAUGUCCUAAGCGGCCUACUCAACAUACAGUUGGGUCAGCCAUCAACUCAAGAAUGCUGCUCGCUUGUCCAAGGUUUAGUUGACCUCGAGGCCGCUGUUUGUCUCUGCACUGCCCUUAGGGCUAACGUUCUCGGAAUCAACCUUAACGUUCCUAUAUCUCUCAGCGUUCUUCUCAACAAGUGUAACAAGAAGGUUCCAUCUGGUUUCGAAUGCACUUGAAUCAGCUAUGCACACGACGCCGCACACAG
This 20031-nucleotide long non-coding RNA is filed under the name Eutrema salsugineum. RNAcentral describes it as "long non-coding RNA (ESAL_LNC000831)". The stretch from base 9533 to 9640 matches the Rfam family "Plant small nucleolar RNA R71". Lineage: Eukaryota; Viridiplantae; Streptophyta; Magnoliopsida; Brassicales; Brassicaceae. The record is from RNAcentral.